AUUAGUUGAUGGGAUACAUAGUAAAAAUAUUUUUUUCUUUUACUCUGUAAUUUAUAAAUAUAAUUUUUUUUUUUGCUAAGAUGUAUAAUAUCUAUGGUGCAAAGAUGUGGCUUACUUAACCGUGGGCUUAAUCAGUUUUGAUCUGGAUUCUUGUGAUGCAACCUAAACAAACAGCAAACUCUAAAUUCCUGGCCUGUAUUUUGCAACUUGUAAUUAAGAGGAAUUAAAAACCCACAACGAAUGAAAAGCAGCAGUCCAAUCUGCCAUCUAUACUGGUAUGGCUGGAAUGCUGGCAGAGAGGAGAUUUGGACAGGCAUUCGUCUGAAUAAUGAGGUAGAAGAGCUAACCCAGUCCUGAUCCCUAAAUCAAGUUAAAGGAAAC
Long non-coding RNA from Tympanuchus pallidicinctus (lesser prairie-chicken), 381 nucleotides. RefSeq lists it as uncharacterized. Lineage: Eukaryota; Metazoa; Chordata; Aves; Galliformes; Phasianidae. The transcript has 3 exons. The record is from RefSeq and is a predicted model, not a curated record.